CAGGGUACCGGGUGUUACCUGGUCAGACAGGGAGGGACAGGGUACCAGGUGUGUUACCUGGUGAGACAGCAGACAGGGAGGGGACAGGGUCCCGGGUGUGUUAGCUGGUGAGACAGCAGACAGGGAGGGACAGGGUACCAGUUGUGUUACCUGGUGAGACAGGGAGGGGACAGGGUACCAGGUGUGUUACCUGGUGAGUCAGCAGACAGGGAGGGGACAGGGUACCAGGUGUGUUACCUGGUGAGACAGCAGACAGGGAGGGGACAGGGUCCCAGGUGUGGUAGGGGUGGUGUGUGUGUACGUUGUCUCUCUUCGACACCAUGGCCUGGAUCUCUCUCUCCACGGCUCCUCUGAUCACUGACAACUUCCUGCCAAACCUGAAGGGAAGACAAGACCACCGCAAUGUCAGGAAUAACUAGUUCUCCUGUCAAUAUGAA
Molecule: long non-coding RNA, 437 nt
Organism: Oncorhynchus tshawytscha (Chinook salmon)
Lineage: Eukaryota; Metazoa; Chordata; Actinopteri; Salmoniformes; Salmonidae
Source: Ensembl